GGAGGGGUCCCAGCCCUCUGGGUGGGGACACGGGGCCCCCAGCCAGCAUUUGUGCACUGGCUACUUCCCCAGCGCUAGGCCCCGGAAGGAAGCGGAUACUUGAAGCUGCGCUGGGCCUCAAUUCUCCAUCUGUGCAGUGGGCUGCUAGCAGGAGAGUGAGGUUUUAUGGGGCUGGGGAAUCGAACCCAGGGCCUCCUGCCUGCUAGGCAAGCACUGUACCACCCUGCGUACCACCCAGCCUGUAGCAGCUAUCAGAUGCUGCCCACCUCUGCACUGGGGAUUGGACCCAGGGCCUUUGCCCUGAGCUACAUCCCCAGCUCUUGUUUAUUUCAACAAAGGUCACACUGAGUCACUAACUUGCCCAGGCUGGACUCUACCUUCUCACUCUCCUGCCUCAGCCUCCCAGAGUGCUGGGAUUACAGGUGUGGGGCACUUGUUGAGGAAAAGUCACUUCCUUCUGCCUCCUGCAGGCAAAUGUUGAUUGAGCACCUAUUACCUGCUGGCAUUGUGUUGGGCCUCGAGGUUAAAGCGGUGACUGAGAGAAAAGUCUGAGAAGACGAGGCUUCAGAGACGAGACUCCAGAGCCAAAUCAAGAGGGCUGCUGUCAGGAUCAGACGGCAUCAGGGGUGUAAAAGCGCUGGGCACAGAAGACGAAGCUGCACCUUGGCCUCCUGACCCCUGCGUCGCUUUGGGAAGGUCUGUGACAGAAGUGAUGGUCACCGGCGACAAAGCCACCCACAGGCCACCCCUCUGAACGGGACACGUGUCUCCUAGUUUCCGAAAAAGGACAGAUUUAGAUGCUGAGUCCCUUAGGAACUCGUUUCUAGGAUGCCACGGAGACAGGGAAGAGUCCCCAAGGGCUCACACCGCCUGCUCUGGUCUCGAGGUGGGGUCAAGGUCCCGCGGGCCGAAGCCAGCAGAUCCCUGCGGGAAAAACCCAUCUGGGAGAAUCGGGUAGAGCCGCGGGACACAGAGAUCUCCAAGACACGCUGGGCGAAGACAGACAGUGGAUGUCCCUCGAGACCGGACUGCUAGAUGGAACAAAUCAGACCCAGAAGGUUGAACAUCACAUGGAGACAGGAGCUCCCGGGUCUGCCUGCUGACGGCCGCCUCCUCCGGACUCCAGGGGAGCUGCCGAGGACAGGAAGGAAGGGGCUGCAGUCAAGGGAGAGUCGCUGCCGGAAGUCACGGGGCCUCUCUGAUCCGCAGAGCCCCCUAAGGCUCAACACAGAGCCUGGACACGGAGAUGGAGAGGGACUCACUUCACAGUCGGGAGGAAGAUCAUGUGAGAAAACGCGUAUACCAGGCCGGGCGUGGUGCCCAGCACUCAGGAGGCUGAAGCAGGAGGAUUGCUGUGAAGUCGCGGCCUAGACUACGUGGCCAGACGCUGUCUCAGAAACAGCCAGGUUUCUGUAAAUGUCUUUGGAAGGAAACAAGUACAGAGAGGCCAAGACACCGGCCCAAAGCAAAUGGCUUAUACGUAUGGUACACAUUUGAGACUCAAAUCCAAAUAUUCUGAUGUUAAAGUCAUCAGAACUUCUAACUACAGCUGUAUCCCGAUUCCCCUUUGCCUAUCAAAACCUCCCAACCAAUCCGGCCAGCAGGGAAUCAAGGCAGAUAUUCUCUGGCUCCUCUACCUGGGGAACAGAUUUUUGUGACACAUCAGUCAUUUACACAUUAGUCUAAAUGACAGCCUACUUUCCAAAUUUCUUUCCUGACCUGUCUCUGUGCCCCAGAGCUGUUUGUAACUCCCCAGCUUAGCAUUUGCCACAGGCAUUGUAAUCAUCCUCUGUCCCCCGUGGAGAUAAACUUGUGGAUUGGAUCACCGAGGGUGGUAUUUAUUGGUUUCAGCAUCCCUGGAGAAUCACCCAGCUGACACUAGGCGAGAAGUGAUGAACAAAACUAAUGAAAUGAGUUAAUAAAACCUGUCCCAGUG
RNA transcript from Fukomys damarensis (Damara mole-rat), 1936 nucleotides. It is a transcript of the gene named SMAD family member 6, with no coding region annotated. Lineage: Eukaryota; Metazoa; Chordata; Mammalia; Rodentia; Bathyergidae. The record is from RefSeq and is a predicted model, not a curated record. The transcript is spliced from 8 exons.